AUCUUCUCAUGUUACUUAUUGUCAUACAUCAAUCAAAAUAUAAAAGGCAAAUAUAUAUACAGUAUUAUCUAUCAUAUAUUUAUCUAUACCUUGUUUCAUAAACAACCUAAUUUUAUUUUAUUUUUUGCAGGGAAAAACGUUUCAUUUAAUCAACAUGGGCCUUACAAUCGUUUGAAAUGAUAAUACUAAUCUCUUGUGAGGACUAGCCGUCACAACCAAGACUCGAACCAAGUAUGCUGAUUGGACUUCAAAAGGGGUGAAAAACUGUCGGACGAUGGCGGGCAUCAGUGGCCUAGCUAGCUCGGUGAGCCAAGGUGGUCCAAUAAACAAAAUUUCAUGUAAUUUUAUGUUUUGUAAAAAAUAUAUAUCUUUUUUUACCCUAUAUAUUGCCUAUGGCGAAAUUUCAGGAUGGUCCAUGAACCACCAUGUCCACUCCCUAGCUACGCCACUGGCGGGCAUAGAUAAUAUAAGUAUCCCCGUUGAUCUCCCUCACCUUCUACCUCUUGGUUUGCACUCCAACCCCUCGAUGUCACUAUCAAGCAUUCUUAUGAAGCUUUGCCGUCUCCGCUAUGUUGCGGCUUGAACGCUUCAACCUGGAUGCUCAAGGUAGUUACAACACUAGAGCCCUCUAGCAGUUGCAUUUUUUAUCAUGACUUAGUCAACAGUUUUGGAAUAACCUUGAAAUUACUGUUCCACCAUAAGCACAAGUACAAUAUGACAAAAUUUACACUAACAUUUCAGAAAUUGAAGCUAUUGAAUAUAUAUUUGUGCGUGUAUAUUGUGUUAUCGGGCCCUCCUCCUAGUCCCUUGUAUAGUUGAGGUAGAGACCCAUCUUAUACCUAUAUAUACGUGCCUAAUGCAUCCAAUUAAUAUUGAGUGUUGCACAGCCUAAACCUGAUCUUCUACAGAAGCGUCCCUACCUACCUUGUUUACACCAAGUUGCUUUGCAGUCUGCACGAUGCUGUGAGCUACAGUGUUGAGGUUCCUAUGAAAGGAAGCCCUUGUUCAAGAUGACAAAGAGUUUAACAAGUAAUGUGUUCCUUCUGGCUCACUUAUAUGCAAAUAUUUAAGGUGCAACGGCAACCAGUGAUUUCACUAGGUUGCCAUGGAGUCCUAACAGCCGUGCAGGAAGAUUGUGUGUUGGUUUUGCCCAUGUUCCCAUUAUAUUUGGCGUUGCAAGUGAAGUCGCGAUGUAGUCAAUGAACAAUGGCCAGUACAUGCUCCAAUCUCUUGAGCGUUAGCACACUUAGCUAUGACUGUGGCUCACUAGUAUCCAACAAGUCCUACAGAUAGGCAAGCCAGCCAGGAAGCUAUUGAUUCCAGACGCCUCCUCUUGGGCGUGUAUUGGCUUGCUCCAUAGCAUGAAGAUAACAUACUACUAUUUAUUUCGGAUGCCACUGGCUAGAUGACAACUCACGCAUCGAGAUUGUGAUGAUGAGAUGUACUACAUUAUUUAUGUUAGUCACCAAUCAUUCAUGGGUUACCGCUAAGGUAGGCUGGUAUACGACCUUACACAGGUUCAUCUUGUUAAUUAUUGUGGAUGACUGCACAUGGAUCAUGUAUGUACGACUUGGAAAUUGUAUGUAGCAUGGAAAACAAUUGAUGCAAAGUGACUUGGUAAGCUCAAAGUAUCCAUUGCAGUUACAUGUUACUGCAGCCCCACCCAAAAUGAAGUGCAGGUUAAUUAUUUCACUAGCAUAAUGCCCGUGCGUUGCUACAGAACCAUAAGAGAUCAUUGAAAGAUGAUGAUAUCGUAUGA
This 1759-nucleotide long non-coding RNA is filed under the name Hordeum vulgare. Its description in RNAcentral is "long non-coding RNA (HVUL_LNC014178)". The record is from RNAcentral. Lineage: Eukaryota; Viridiplantae; Streptophyta; Magnoliopsida; Poales; Poaceae.